Molecule: long non-coding RNA, 556 nt
Filed under: Nicotiana benthamiana
Lineage: Eukaryota; Viridiplantae; Streptophyta; Magnoliopsida; Solanales; Solanaceae
Description: long non-coding RNA (NBEN_LNC022810)
Source: RNAcentral
GGUACAGAGUUACCCUCCUUCUUCGCGACCGGAGAAGAUCGGCCUUCAGUCAAUCAGAGAAACCCUAGGUGCAACCGUUGAAAACCUUACUAGAAAUAUAGUCAGGGAUGUCGGAAAGUCACCCUAAACAUCCACUGAGUGAGAAUCGAGCCACCGGAUAGCAGUAAAACUCUAGGUUAAACCACCAGAAACCCUAGAAGCCGAUAUGUCACCCAAAAAUCACCCAAAAUCAUCAGAAAAUCUCCUAGAACGUUCGAGUGAAGAAAAUACACUCAGAUAUCACGAUGAAAAACUCAGAAAGGCGUACGAUUUAUACCGGAAUCAUCAUCGACCAUAAGGUCGCAGAAACACCCCCAAAAAUCUCGAAACAGAUUUCAUCCAAGACAUUAAGAUACAGAUAAACAUAGUCGGAUCGUCGUCUAGGCUCUAAUACCAUGUAAACAUUGAGAUUAGACCGAAAAAUCGUUGAGAAUGUAGAGAGAGAAACUAGAGAGAAGGAGGAGCGUUUGAGAACUCUCUAGAAUAGAGAGAGAAUUUAUUAAUCAGAAAUGAAAAU